Molecule: non-coding RNA, 330 nt
Organism: Pelobates cultripes (western spadefoot toad)
Lineage: Eukaryota; Metazoa; Chordata; Amphibia; Anura; Pelobatidae
Source: the annotation of a GenBank genome assembly
GCCGUUUCCGUUAGUAGUCCUGCAGGACCUGCCCUUUGGAGUGGCAGCAGCAGCGAGAGGCAUGACUGCUGACCAAAUUACAUUCCCGUUACCCCCAAUAAAGACAUGACGCCUAAGUGUUGGAUAAGGGCUACGGCCACAGCUUGACUUAAUUUUAACUUUAAACAGUGCCACCAUUAUCACCACCUGUCAGCUGUUGGAGUGACUACCCAACAGACAGAUAAAACCGUAUAUUUCCACAGUUCAUACAGCCUGCCUCCCGCCAUCAGCCCUAGCAGGCUGUGACUCCUCAAAUCUUUGUCUCAGGAAUUACUUGCACUGGCCAGGAAC